AGUGAACGCUGGCGGUAGGCCUAACACAUGCAAGUCGAACGGCAGCACAGUAAGAGCUUGCUCUUACGGGUGGCGAGUGGCGGACGGGUGAGGAAUACAUCGGAAUCUACUUUUUCGUGGGGGAUAACGUAGGGAAACUUACGCUAAUACCGCAUACGACCUACGGGUGAAAGCAGGGGAUCUUCGGACCUUGCGCGAUUGAAUGAGCCGAUGUCGGAUUAGCUAGUUGGCGGGGUAAAGGCCCACCAAGGCGACGAUCCGUAGCUGGUCUGAGAGGAUGAUCAGCCACACUGGAACUGAGACACGGUCCAGACUCCUACGGGAGGCAGCAGUGGGGAAUAUUGGACAAUGGGCGCAAGCCUGAUCCAGCCAUACCGCGUGGGUGAAGAGGGCCUUCGGGUUGUAAAGCCCUUUUGUUGGGAAAGAAAAGCAGCAGGUUAAUACCCCGCUGUUCUGACGGUACCCAAAGAAUAAGCACCGGCUAACUUCGAG
RNAcentral lists this ribosomal RNA (492 nucleotides) under uncultured bacterium. Its description in RNAcentral is "partial 16S ribosomal RNA". It matches the Rfam family "Bacterial small subunit ribosomal RNA", at positions 29 to 507 of the family's 1533-position model. The record is from RNAcentral.